GAAAAACUUUACAAACUUACAAGAACAUCUCAACAACUGAAUGAAGAUGAAGUCCAACAGCAGCAACAGCAGCAAUAAUAAUAAUAGUAAUAGUCAUAAUGAUGGUAGUAGUAACUGGUUAGGUUUUUCUCUCUCUCCCCACAUGAAAAUGGAGGUUACUUCUUCUGAACCUCAACACCAACAUCAUCAGUUCAAUAAUCAGAGCUCUAUCCAUCCUAGUACUACUACCUCUGCUCUUGCUCAAAGUUUCUAUCUUUCAUCUUCUCCUAUGAAUGUGACUUCAAAUACCUCUG
RNAcentral lists this long non-coding RNA (293 nucleotides) under Nicotiana tabacum (common tobacco). RNAcentral describes it as "long non-coding RNA (NTAB_LNC010004)". Lineage: Eukaryota; Viridiplantae; Streptophyta; Magnoliopsida; Solanales; Solanaceae. The record is from RNAcentral.